GAUGAAGAACGUAGUGAAAUGCGAUACUUGGUGUGAAUUGCAGAAUCCCGUGAACCAUCGAGUCUUUGAACGCAAGUUGCGCCCGAAGCCAUUAGGCCGAGGGCACGCCUGCCUGGGCGUCACACGUCGUUGCCCCCCCCAUCUACUCCUUCGGGAUUGCGGGGGGCGGAUGAUGGCCUCCCGUGCGCCUCGCCGCGCGGUUGGCAUAAAUGCCAAGUCCUCGGCGAUGCACGCCACGACAAUCGGUGGUUGCGAAACCUCGGUUGCCCGUCGUGUGCGGUCGUCGCGCAUCGAGGGCUCGAAAAAAUUGCCGGGUUCCGGCUCGGCUUUCAACGCGACCCCAGGUCAGGCGGGGUUACCCGCUGAAUUUAAGCAUAUCAAUAAGCGGAGGA
This 392-nucleotide unclassified non-coding RNA is filed under the name soil metagenome. RNAcentral's name for it is "partial contains 5.8S ribosomal RNA, internal transcribed spacer 2, and large subunit ribosomal RNA". The stretch from base 1 to 122 matches the Rfam family "5.8S ribosomal RNA", at positions 35 to 154 of the family's 154-position model. The record is from RNAcentral.